Molecule: ribosomal RNA, 293 nt
Filed under: uncultured microorganism
Description: partial 16S ribosomal RNA
Rfam family: Bacterial small subunit ribosomal RNA
Source: RNAcentral
GUGCCAGCAGCCGCGGUAAUACGUAGGGUGCGAGCGUUGUCCGGAAUUAUUGGGCGUAAAGAGCUCGUAGGCGGUGUGUCGCGUCGAUCGUGAAAACCUGUGGCUUAACUGUGGGCGUGCGGUCGAUACGGGCAUCACUGGAGUUCGGCAGGGGAGACUGGAAUUCCUGGUGUAGCGGUGAAAUGCGCAGAUAUCAGGAGGAACACCGGUGGCGAAGGCGGGUCUCUGGGCCGAUACUGACGCUGAGGAGCGAAAGCGUGGGGAGCGAACAGGAUUAGAUACCCUGGUAGUCC